GAUGAACGCUGGCGGUAUGCUUAACACAUGCAAGUCGAACGGACUCUUCGGAGUUAGUGGCGGACGGGUGAGUAACGCGUGGGAAUCUGGCUUUGGGUUCGGGACAACCACUGGAAACGGUGGCUAAUACCGGAUGUGCCGAGAGGUAAAAGAAAAAUUGCCUGAAGUUGAGCUCGUGUCUGAUUAGCUAGUUGGUGAGGUAAAGUCUCACCAAGGCAGCGAUCAGUAGCUGGUCUGAGAGGAUGACCAGCCACAGGGGGACUGAGACACGGCCCAGACUCCCACGGGGCGCAGGUGUGGGAAAUUUCCCGAAAGGGGCGAGCGCCUGACGGAGCAAUACCGCGUGGGGGAAGAAGGCUCUUGGGUUGUAAAGCUUUUUUCUUAGGGAAGAACAAAAUGACGGUACCUAAGGAAUCAGCACCGGCUAACUCCGUG
This 435-nucleotide ribosomal RNA is filed under the name uncultured bacterium. Its description in RNAcentral is "partial 16S ribosomal RNA". It matches the Rfam family "Bacterial small subunit ribosomal RNA", at positions 28 to 507 of the family's 1533-position model. The record is from RNAcentral.